RNAcentral lists this transfer RNA (84 nucleotides) under Gemmatimonadota bacterium. RNAcentral describes it as "tRNA-Leu". It matches the Rfam family "tRNA". Rfam says of the family: Transfer RNA (tRNA) molecules are approximately 80 nucleotides in length. Lineage: Bacteria; Pseudomonadati; Gemmatimonadota. The record is from RNAcentral. RNAcentral also lists the same sequence under 2 other names.
GGGCGAGUGGCGGAAUGGCAGACGCUGGGGACUUAAAAUCCCCUCCGGUAAUACCGGGUGCGGGUUCGAAUCCCGCCUCGCCCA